CCCGUCAUCAACGUCACGGAUUAAGGAGUCACGUGACCGGUAAAGGAGGCCGUGUAGAAGACCUUUGGUCAAUGGAAUAAAACGGAAAAAUGUAUCAACCGAACCAAAGCGUGGAAGUCUGUUUUCUCUACACCUGCUGAACGCCAGGUACCACAUACCUUCAUUAAAAUCAGACAAGAAACAGGAGAGGUGACAAAAAGGUGACAUGUGGCCUGAGUUCCUCCUGUGUGAAGGAAAAACAUCACAUUCAACCACAUCCCUGCAUCAAGAAGAGUGUGUUCUGUCUGUUUUCAUUCGCAUAGCUGGCAUAGCAUCCCAGGUGUUCCCUAGGAUAAACUCCGGAUCCACCCCUCCCCUGGCCAGUAUAAAGCACUUACUGAAGAUAAAUGAAUGAAUAUCAUAAUCCGUUUUUAUUGUAAGGUACAGAGCUCCUGUUGAGAAUGAAAACCGCAGGUGAGCAGGAGGAGAGGCUGCUAGGGCAUGUUCAAAAGAUGAUCAUUAAGAUAAAUAUGCAAAAUGCUUCCUGGGAAAGGGAUGGCUUCUAAGUUUUGUUUUGAAGCACUUUAACGGCUUGCUUUAUUCCUGUGGCAGGGAGG
Long non-coding RNA from Ictalurus punctatus (channel catfish), 596 nucleotides. NCBI's taxonomy places the organism in Eukaryota, Metazoa, Chordata, Actinopteri, Siluriformes, Ictaluridae. The record is from Ensembl.